UCAAAUUCUUAUUCAAUCUUAACAGGACUUCAACUCCUUAAUUGAUUUAAAACAUAAAUUGAAGUAGUCACCUUAACGCGGUUUCCCUUCUUUAGUGACAGAAGCAACCUCUCAAUCCGCAUUAAUUAUGCAAUAUGAUAUGAUAAGUAGACAUUUAAACAGCACACACUACACCCUGUUUUUUUUUUCUCAAUUUCUCUAUUAAUUACAUCCCAUCAUAUAUGUCAGCGUCAUAUAAUACCAUAUCUAAUACUUCUCUUACUCACUCUUGUUGUUUACCCAAUUUUUUCCAUUCAAAAGGAACCCAUGCACGUUACUCAAAAAAAAAAAUAAAAAAAUUAAACAUGAUGUUCAGGAUUUGGACUUCCUCAUUUCAUAGAUUAUCCAGCCGAAACUCCAAGGCUAGCUAGCUAGCUACUAGGCCAUAUUGUUAGUUAUUUAUACAAAUAGAGAAAAAGUCCAUCCACCCCAUAUAUACUUAACUCACCUCAUUAUAUAAUACUCUUAUGCUUCCCUUAAAUUGCCUCCAUGCAUCUCCGGUACCUACCUUUCUUAUCCUCACAUAAAUGAAGUUUCUUUUGUUUCUUCAGUGCUUGUUCUUCCUAGUGAUGAUGCAUCUAUCCCAUCCUUGCAUUGCUUCCAGGACCAGCAGAGGACUGUUAGCUACAGAUGCUGGUUUUUCUGGCCGCGGAAAGGAUCAGUUAAAAAUCUCCCCACCGUCACCACGUGGGGCCUUCAGUAUUCGCCCAUAAAGAGCGCAAAAAUGCGCAUCAAAAUUUAUAUAUUAAACAGCUUUGUUUUUCAACAUGUUUUUCACCAAUGUAUCUACAACCGACAUCAGUUAUGGGAAUAAUUUCUUUAAGAUUUUGAUA
Molecule: long non-coding RNA, 872 nt
Organism: Lotus japonicus
Lineage: Eukaryota; Viridiplantae; Streptophyta; Magnoliopsida; Fabales; Fabaceae
Exons: 2
Source: RefSeq, a predicted model, not a curated record